This 260-nucleotide ribosomal RNA is filed under the name Salmonella enterica subsp. enterica serovar Kentucky. RNAcentral's name for it is "partial 23S ribosomal RNA". It matches the Rfam family "Bacterial large subunit ribosomal RNA", at positions 647 to 909 of the family's 2925-position model. Lineage: Bacteria; Pseudomonadati; Pseudomonadota; Gammaproteobacteria; Enterobacterales; Enterobacteriaceae. The record is from RNAcentral.
UAACCGUAUAGGGGAGCCGUAGGGAAACCGAGUCUUAACCGGGCGUUAAGUUGCAGGGUAUAGACCCGAAACCCGGUGAUCUAGCCAUGGGCAGGUUGAAGGUUGGGUAACACUAACUGGAGGACCGAACCGACUAAUGUUGAAAAAUUAGCGGAUGACCUGUGGCUGGGGGUGAAAGGCCAAUCAAACCGGGAGAUAGCUGGUUCUCCCCGAAAGCUAUUUAGGUAGCGCCUCGUGAAUUCAUCUCCGGGGGUAGAGCA